Vicia faba (fava bean) is the source of this 312-nucleotide non-coding RNA. The record is from the annotation of a GenBank genome assembly. Lineage: Eukaryota; Viridiplantae; Streptophyta; Magnoliopsida; Fabales; Fabaceae.
AUGUAUCUUUUAUGGAGAAAGUUGAAACAUCUACAACCUAUUCUCAGAGGCAUGAAUAGGCACGUUUCUGCAGGUGCAAAAAGGAUUGAUGAGUACAGAGUAAACCUCACUAAUGCUCAACAAAGUCUAGCGAAUGAGGAGGAAGAAAACUUAUUGAUGCAGAAGGAAAAAACUAUGUGGCUGCAACUUGGAGACAACAAUAACUCAUACUUCCAUGCAAUUGUCAAGGGUCGAAAUAAGAAAAAUGGUAUUCACCGGAUCGUGGAUGCUAAUGGUGAUAUAUUGACAAACUUUAAGGAGACGGAGAAGUAA